This is a long non-coding RNA of Oncorhynchus keta (chum salmon), 2297 nucleotides long. RefSeq lists it as uncharacterized. The record is from RefSeq and is a predicted model, not a curated record. Lineage: Eukaryota; Metazoa; Chordata; Actinopteri; Salmoniformes; Salmonidae. The transcript has 3 exons.
ACAUUUAUCGGAGCCAUCUUUGAAAUAGAUAUAUAAAGGGAGAAGGAAAUGUAAUUAAACAGACAGAAAGAUAUUCUUGUAACACCCAAACUCUACGUUUCUUCCUCCUGCACCUCAGGGUGGCCUUCAGGCGGGAUCCAUGAGCAUCCCAACCCAAAUGAUUUGAGGUUUUCAACAACAUUAAGGCCUACUGGUUUUGAGCCCAGCGCUUCGUUCGGCUCUACGUGCUUAUGGAGUACCCUGGAGUUCAGAACUAGUAUCUCAUCCUAUCCACAAAAUAAUGACAGCAAGGUUCCCCUGUUUAUGAAGAAUGGUCCAGCACCCAAAGGACGUCCAGCCGACCUGACAACUGUGGGAAGCAUCGGAAGUCAACAUGUGCCAGCAUCCCUGUGGAAUGCUUUCGACACCUUUCAGAGUCCAUGAACCAAAAGUGGGGGAAAUGACACACACACUUACACAUAGAUACACUUUCACACUCUUCACAUUCACUGCUGCCACUCUGAUUAUUAUUUACCUAGAUUGCCUAAUCACUUUUACCCCUACCUACAUGUAUAUAUUACCUCAAUGACCUUGUACCCCUUCAAAUCAAAUCAAAGUUUAUUUGUCACGUGCGCUGAAUACAACAGGUGUAGACCUUACAAGCCCUUAACCAACAGUGCAGUUUUUAAGUAAAAAAUACAUAUUAGGUAAGCAACAGAUAAGUAAAUAAAUAAAUUAACAGUCAAAAAUAACAGUAACGAGGCUAUAUACAGGCUGUACCGGUACAGAGUCAAUGUGCGGGUGACAGGUUAGUCUGGCUAUUUGAAGUAAUAUGUACAUGUAGGAUUAGUUAAAGUGACUAUAGAUGGUAAACAGAGAGUAGCAGCAGCGUAAAAGAGGGGUUGAUGGGGGAGUGGCGGGACACAUUGCAUAGUCCAGGUAGCCAUUCGAUGAGCUGUUCAGGAGUCUUAUGGCUUGGGGGGAAAAGCUGUUGAGAAGCCUUUUGGUCCUAGACUUGGCGCUCCGGUACCGCUUGACAUGCGGUAGCAGAGAGAACAGUCUAUGACUAGGGUGGCUGGAGUCUUUGACAAUUUUUAGCGCCUUUCUCUGACACCGCCUGGUAUAGAGGUCCUGGAUGGCAGGCAGCUUAUCCCCUGUGAUGUACUGGGCUGUAAACACUACCCUCUGUUGUGCCUUGCGGUCGGAGGCUGAGAAGUUGCCGUACCAGGCAGUGAUGCAACCAGUCAGGAUGCUCUCGAUGUUGCAGCUGUAGAACCUUUGAGGAUCUGAGGACCCAUGGCAAAUCUUUUUCGUUUCCUAAGGGGAAACUUUUCAUGACUGCCUUGGUGUGUUUUAACCAUUCUAGUUUUUUUUUUUUUUUUUGAAUAUUACCCCUUUUUCUCCCCAAUUUCACGGUAUUCAAUUGUUUUAGUAGCUACUAUCUUGUCUCAUCGCUACAACUCCCGUACGGGCUCGGGAGAGACGAAGGUUGAAAGUCAUGCGUCCUCCGAUACACAACCCAACCAAGCCGCACUGCUUCUUAACACAGCGCGCAUCCAAAUCGGAAGGCAGCCGCACCAAUGUGCCGGAGGAACUGCCAUUUCUUCCGGCGCCAUCGACUCGGUACCGGUACUCCUUGUACAUAGCCUCAUUAGUGCUACUUUAUUGUGUUUCUAUUUCCUAUUUAGCUACAUGUUUGUACUUUUUAACUCUGCAUCAUUGGGAAACGGCUCGUAAGUAAGUCUUUUACGGAGAAGUCUACACCUGUUGUAUUCGGCGUAUGUGGCAAAUACCAUUUUUUAUUUGAUUUUCUUAUUUGAAUGAUUAACCUUUAUAGUCCAUUGUUGGAGGCAGUUAAAAGUAGUGUUUAAAUGGACUGAUGCAAAUGGACUCUUGGAGGCAAUGGGAGCGCCAAUAAAACUCACACUGAACAUAGUGACAACAGUACUGUACUGAGUGGCAACAGGUCUUCAGCCUAGAAUGGUUGAAGAGAACACACCACACGUGUCUCUCUGAUGGUUGUUGUUUGCAAACCUCAAGUAAUUCGUGCGAGAUAGAGGGGAAAGAUCGGAGUGUGCUGAAUGAACAAUGGGACGGAUUCGAAACCAUGCUGGCAGCGAUACGUUGCGGUACACUCUGGGGUAUUGCAGUACGUGUGUCCUCUUAUUGCUCGAUUUCUUUUAUAUGACUUAGUAGUACUGUGUUGUUGAGGAGCAUGCAAGCAAGCGUUUCACUAUUCAUGUUGACACCUGCUGUAUCCUGUGCACGUGACAAACAAACGUUGAUAUGCUUUGUACAUAUCUCUUCACAGGCAGAGA